CCAAUAGCGUAUAUUAAAGUUGUUGCAGUUAAAAAGCUCGUAGUUGAAUUUCGGGAUUGACGUGAUGGUCAUGCCUUAAGGGGUAUGAACUGUUGCUGUUGAUUUCUCACCUUCUGGAGAAACUUGAUGUCCUUUAUUGGGUGUCUUGCGGAUCCAGGACCUUUACCUUGAAAAAAUUAGAGUGUUUAAAGCAAGCAUUUUUGCUCGAAUACAUUAGCAUGGAAUAAUAGAAUAGGACGGCAUGGUUCUAUUUUGUUGGUUUCUAGGAUCACCGUAAUGAUUAAUAGGGAUAGUUGGGGGCAUUAGUAUUCAAUUGUCAGAGGUGAAAUUCUUGGAUUUAUUGAAGACUAACUACUGCGAAAGCAUUUGCCAAGGAUGUUUUCAUUAAUCAAGAACGAAAGUUAGGGGAUCGAAGACGAUCAGAUACCGUCGUAGUCUUAACCAUAAACUAUGCCGACUAGGAAUCAGACGAUGUUAAUUUUUUAAUGACUCGUUUGGCACCUUACG
RNAcentral lists this ribosomal RNA (507 nucleotides) under uncultured Glomeromycotina. Its description in RNAcentral is "partial small subunit ribosomal RNA". It matches the Rfam family "Eukaryotic small subunit ribosomal RNA", at positions 591 to 1092 of the family's 1831-position model. The record is from RNAcentral. Lineage: Eukaryota; Fungi; Glomeromycota.